Molecule: ribosomal RNA, 449 nt
Filed under: uncultured bacterium
Lineage: Bacteria
Description: partial 16S ribosomal RNA
Rfam family: Bacterial small subunit ribosomal RNA
Source: RNAcentral
AACGAACGCUGGCGGCAUGCCUAACACAUGCAAGUCGAACGAGAUCUUCGGGUCUAGUGGCGCACGGGUGCGUAACGCGUGGGAAUCUGCCCUCUGGUUCGGAAUAACAGUUGGAAACGACUGCUAAUACCGGAUGAUGACGAAAGUCCAAAGAUUUAUCGCCAGAGGAUGAGCCCGCGUAGGAUUAGCUAGUUGGUGUGGUAAAGGCGCACCAAGGCGACGAUCCUUAGCUGGUCUGAGAGGAUGAUCAGCCACACUGGGAGUGAGACACGGCCCAGACUCCUACGGGAGGCAGCAGUGGGGAAUAUUGGACAAUGGGCGAAAUCCUGAUCCAGCAAUGCCGCGUGAGUGAUGAAGGCCUUAGGGUUGUAAAGCUCUUUUACCCGGGAUGAUAAUGACAGUACCGGGAGGAUAAGCUCCGGCUAACUCCGUGCCAGCCGCCGCCGUAA